This 930-nucleotide long non-coding RNA is filed under the name Scophthalmus maximus (turbot). Its description in RNAcentral is "lncRNA (ENSSMAG00000029559.1)". The record is from RNAcentral. Lineage: Eukaryota; Metazoa; Chordata; Actinopteri; Pleuronectiformes; Scophthalmidae.
AUGCUCCGCCUCCAUUUAAUUUCCUGGAUCUACAAAGAGUAUUUGACUGCAUUUCAUUUUCUCCAUUUCAUCCAACCAACAUUGAUGCCAUUUAAUCUCCGUGGCCGUCCGAAUUUUUAUUUCCCCCCCUGGUGGAUCAACAAUGUUGUAGGAUUAAAAUUCCAUCUAACCCCCCACGUCUGUCGCUGGUGGGCUACCAUCUACUGCAGGUUGCAGUUUAACAUCCUUGUCCCCAGAGCCCAAGACACUGAGGGAGGAACCAGCAGAGAUCACUUGGGGCGAUUUUAUGGUAUGUCUCGAGUGCAUUUGUAAUGGUGUUGUAGCAUCAAACUCCCCACACACACACCUUUUCAACAGCGGCUAACUGGUAUCUCUGACGUCCAUUAUUUGUAACCUUCAAAAAUCUACCAUCUACAAUGAGGCCCACUUUAUGCCACGAUUGGCUAGCUUGGCAAGUUAAUUGGGACGACGUUUGAUUCAAUGUCCUGCUUUGUUGCAUGAGAAACUGCUAUUACCUGGUUGUCUAGACUGAGUUCUUCCUCUGCUCCUGAUUCUGUAGCCCCCCGAAGCUUCUCUCUUCUCUUAUUGCAUUUAAAACACAAAAAUUUUGUUUGAAUAAAUCUUAUUUGUAUAAAAUACUUUUCCCCUUGACAUCUUUAAAUCUGUACACUACAUUUCAAUAAAAAUUAGUGUUUGACAUUUAAUACAGUGCUCCUCAUAUUAACCCUCAUGCUUAUAUUGAAUGUCAAUUUCUUUUUUUCUUUUCUGGAAAGUCUGGUUGUGGACAUUCAAGUGCAAACUCUACACGGCCUCAUUUUAUUUAUAUUUUAAUAUUGAAGUGUAGUUAUAUAUCUGUAAAUGAAGAAACCCACAGAGGCAGCAUGGUUUUUAAACUGUCCAACAAGCCAUGCAUUUAUUGUCAGCUUUAUA